RNAcentral lists this ribosomal RNA (579 nucleotides) under Papiliotrema laurentii. RNAcentral describes it as "partial large subunit ribosomal RNA". It matches the Rfam family "Eukaryotic large subunit ribosomal RNA", at positions 54 to 618 of the family's 3401-position model. Lineage: Eukaryota; Fungi; Basidiomycota; Tremellomycetes; Tremellales; Rhynchogastremaceae. The record is from RNAcentral.
AGGAAAAGAAACUAACUAGGAUUCCCUUAGUAACGGCGAGUGAACCGGGAUGAGCUCAAAUUUAAAAUCUGGCGUCUUUCAGGCGUCCGAGUUGUAAUCUAUAGAGGCGUUUUCCGCGCCGGACCGCGUCCAAGUCCCUUGGAAUAGGGUAUCAAAGAGGGUGACAAUCCCGUACUUGACGCGACAACCGGUGCUCUGUGAUACGUUCUCAACGAGUCGAGUUGUUUGGGAAUGCAGCUCUAAACGGGUGGUAAAUUCCAUCUAAGGCUAAAUAUUGGCGAGAGACCGAUAGCGAACAAGUACCGUGAGGGAAAGAUGAAAAGCACUUUGGAAAGAGAGUUAAACAGCACGUGAAAUUGUUAAAAGGGAAACGAUUGAAGUCAGUCGUGUGAAAGGUAUUCAGCCGUCUCUGGCGGUGUAUUUGCCUUUCACGGGUCAACAUCAGUUUAGUCCGGUAGAAAAAGGCGGGAGGAAGGUGGCACCCUCGGGUGUGUUAUAGCCUCCUGUCACAUGUGCCGGAUUAGACUGAGGAACGCAGCUUGCAGCAAUGCCGGGGUUCGCCCACGUACAAGCUUAGGA